Molecule: ribosomal RNA, 402 nt
Filed under: Chryseobacterium indologenes
Lineage: Bacteria; Pseudomonadati; Bacteroidota; Flavobacteriia; Flavobacteriales; Weeksellaceae
Description: bacterial SSU rRNA
Rfam family: Bacterial small subunit ribosomal RNA
Source: RNAcentral
CCUUUAUCUUGGGAAUGGCCUUUCAAAAGGAAGAUUAAUGCCCCAUAAUAUUUAGAAUGGCAUCAUUUUAAAUUGAAAACUCCGGUGGAUAAAGAUGGGCACUCACACGAUUAGAUAGUUGGUAGGGUAACGGCCUACCGAGUCAACGAUCCUUAAGGGGCCUGAGAGGGUGAUCCCCCACACUGGUACUGAGACACGGACCAGACUCCUACGGGAGGCAGCAGUGAGGAAUAUUGAACAAUGGGUGAGAGCCUGAUCCAUCCAUCCCGCGUGAAGGACGACGGCCCUAUGGGUUGUAAACUUCUUUUGUAUAGGGAUAAACCUACUCUCGUGAGAGUAGCUGAAGGUACUAUACAAAUAAGCACCGGCUAACUCCGUGCCAGCAGCCGCGGUAAUACGGAG